UCAAACGGGAUGUGGUGUUCAGUGUUAUUGCUGGCAGUUUCUAAUUAAAUUUCCUUACAAGCUGACGCAUUUUGCAACUGAAAAUAUAGCAGAAAGAGAGAAAAAGUUUUACAUUAUUGAAUGAUGCAAAAAUUUACUACACGAAGCUGGAAUAUAUAAAAUUUAUCAAAGGCGUUCAUUCAUAUAAUAUGCAUAUAGGCAUACAGGCACACAUAUGUACUUAUAUGUGUAUGCAGCCCCACACGCAUUAAUACACCAAAACAAGUUGUUGUGUAUUGAUUGGAAAAUCGAUAAAAUUGACGCUAGUCAAGGACAUUCUUCCUUCUUCGAGUUUAAAUAGUUAACGGCAAAUAUAUUUUUGUUAUACAGACUUUCAAACCCUUUGCUAAGCUGCUGCAUAAAGAAGCGAAGCGAAUGGAUCUGGUAAUAAACGAGGACAAGAUGAAGUUUCUGCUGUCCUCAAAUAAGCAGUCAGCUGAGUUGCUUAUCGACACCCACGCCACUGUUGACAG
Long non-coding RNA from Anastrepha obliqua, 512 nucleotides. RefSeq lists it as uncharacterized. The transcript has 3 exons. Lineage: Eukaryota; Metazoa; Arthropoda; Insecta; Diptera; Tephritidae. The record is from RefSeq and is a predicted model, not a curated record.